Long non-coding RNA from Rhodamnia argentea, 2287 nucleotides. RefSeq lists it as uncharacterized. The record is from RefSeq and is a predicted model, not a curated record. The transcript has 2 exons. Lineage: Eukaryota; Viridiplantae; Streptophyta; Magnoliopsida; Myrtales; Myrtaceae.
CUCUCCCUCCCUCUCUCUCACGAGCACAGCUACCCUUGGAAUUCUUGGUUCUAACUCAACCCUCCAUUCUCUCUCUCUCUCUCUCUCUCUCUCUCUCUCUCUCUCUCUCCACACCCCUUUCCUCAUCUGAAAGUCAAAUGCUCCUCUCUAAUGGGCAGUCAUACCCUCUGUGUUUCUAUAAGAUAAGGUGAAGUUCCCACUAGGAGCAAAUGAGCUCCUGUUCAAACUCUUUUUCUGUUGUCAUUGACAUGUCCUCGCUCUGAUUCUGAUUCCAUUGUGUUCAAUUUCGUUUGGAGAGUUUCUAUGGGGUUUGAUGGCAGACUUAGCUUGAAACUCUUUCCACUACAUGGGAAGAAAAUGUCAUCUUUCAUGUGCUUUUAAUCCGUCGGUGAGAGUGGUUUCCAUGCUGUCCCUUGGCGAGUGAACAGUUGGCUUGUGGGUGAUCCUUUAUUUCGUUGUCUGUUCGACCUUGAACUGUACUUGAGCAUCAUCCGGCUCAUGCUGUUUUUCAUGCUUACGAGGUAAUGCACUAAGCCGGCAUUGGAUUUGCGUCUGCCUAACGGAAACCAUUUCUUCGCAUGGAUGAAUCUUCUCAUGAUUGGAUCUCGGAUAAAAAAAAGGGUUUAUUUGACACUUCUUUUGGAUGAGCCCCUCUUUCUUUUGUGUCUGUUCUUUUGCCCUAGUAGAAGAAAUGAGCCGCUCAUUCACUAGGAACUGCAAUUUUGAGCUAAUUUUUUGUGCCUUUGCAUUUCUAUGCUCUCCUUUCAUUUCCAACGUUCUGCUAGUGGAAGAAUAUCUUUAAGCAUCUAGUGAAAGUCUGGAAAUUAAGGAUUCGCGUGCUUGAUACCUAGAAUGAUGCGAUAUUGGAUCCCUUUGGAAUGUACUUUGAUGAUAUUAGCUUUCUGCCAACUGUGGUGUGUACAUAUUGUAAGUAGCUAGAAUUAUACCUAACUUCUCUACCUGGAAUGGAAUUUCACCUCUUCUUAAGCUUGAGGGCUUGAUUUAAAAACUAGCCAUGAAUACCAGGAUGGACUUGUCGCUUAGCGUUCAAUGUAGAAAGGUGAAAUCUUUGCAAACAGUUUUUGGAUCCCUUUGGAAUGUAGAUAGUCAAACAUUUUGCCACUAGGAAUACGGAAGUUUCUUUGGCGAUCCCAAUGUUCGUUCUUUUCUCAGUUGGUGUUAUAAGGUUUCAAAAUAUACCAAAAUUUAGAAAGAUCAUAGUACUUACUAUCUCAUGCAUCACAUGAUAUUUACUACAAGCACAUCAUCUGACAAUCUGAGUACUACAAGUUAAUGCAUAGAAAUUUAUUGUGGCAUUAUCUGACCGCAGAAGAUGUUGAAUUUUGGUUAGCUUCAUGUACUUUGCAUUAAAUAACUUCUCCAAAUUUCGUGUGUCCGUUCUUGAGAGGAUAAUUGGGUAUUAGCUUCAAUUUAACUUGAACCGGUGUCGCUCCUGUACUGGGCUAAUGUCGUAAAAUGUUAAGGCAAAAAUAUCUGCUCAACCAUAUAGUUUUCCGGAAGACAGGAGAAACAAAUAAUUACCAUCGAAUCGAGUUGAGUCGAUUCAACUAUAAAACUACUGAAAGGUUUAAUGUGAGAGUGAGUUGUUAGAGCGAAGACCAAGGUUGGACAGACAGCGAAAUUGAGGUACAAGCAAGAACUGUUUGCUCGACAAGGGUUUUGCAUGGACACCAAAAACACUCCACUUUUCAAGCGCUCGGUCUAUCGUCCCGGUAAUUGCCUUCUGAAAUGCAUCUAUGUCCAGGUAUUUCUGGGUGUGAGCGUGAUCGCAUGUGUGGGUUUUUUUGCUCGCACAAAUUAAGUGCAGCUCUAGCUCGGAGGAAUCUUCAUGAGUUGUGCUAAUUAGGAGCUAAAUCCUUGUAAGUUCUCAAGUCCCAACAUUGAUGACAUGAAGCUAAACCAGGAUUUCAACUUAUGGGACGGCUAUGUCUGAAAAAAAAAAAAAAAAACUAACUUGAUUAAUGACUGUGAUAUGAUUGUGUUUCAUGUAUAGCUAAUGAAUUUAUGCACUAUAGUUCUUUAGAAAUGCCUCGUCAAUUGCCGUGGGGUUUUAUUGUUUGGUGGAUUUUCCAUCGUUUUUUCCCAUUGUCAUUGUUAUUAUGGUGGACAUUUGAUCUAUGAGAAGUUUAGGGCACCAAUUAGAGAUGAAGUGAAGUGUGCAUGAGAAAUUUCACCCACCUUUCUGGCUAUCUUAAGCCAAGUGACUGCAUGUCGCUAUAUAAAGUCCAGAGAUUGUGUACAAUCCACAGAGAAUCUUUUUUCUCCA